This 833-nucleotide ribosomal RNA is filed under the name Paecilomyces tabacinus. RNAcentral describes it as "LSU rRNA". It matches the Rfam family "Eukaryotic large subunit ribosomal RNA", at positions 68 to 919 of the family's 3401-position model. Lineage: Eukaryota; Fungi; Ascomycota; Eurotiomycetes; Eurotiales; Thermoascaceae. The record is from RNAcentral.
ACAGGGAUUGCCCCAGUAACGGCGAGUGAAGCGGCAAGAGCUCAAAUUUGAAAUCUGGCCCCUCCGGGGUCCGAGUUGUAAUUUGCAGAGGAUGCUUCGGGUGCGGUCCCCGUCUAAGUGCCCUGGAACGGGCCGUCAUAGAGGGUGAGAAUCCCGUCUGGGACGGGCGGCCGUGCCCGUGUGAAGCUCCUUCGACGAGUCGAGUUGUUUGGGAAUGCAGCUCUAAAUGGGUGGUAAAUUCCAUCUAAAGCUAAAUAUUGGCCGGAGACCGAUAGCGCACAAGUAGAGUGAUCGAAAGAUGAAAAGCACUUUGAAAAGAGAGUUAAACAGCACGUGAAAUUGUUGAAAGGGAAGCGCUUGCGACCAGACUCGCCCGCGGGGGUUCAGCCGGUACUCGUACCGGUGUACUCCCCCGCGGUCGGACCAGCGUCGGUUUGGGCGGCCGGUCAAAGGCCCCCGGAAUGUGUCGCCUCUCGGGGCGUCUUAUAGCCGGGGGUGCAAUGCGGCCAGCCUGGACCGAGGAACGCGCUUCGGCACGGACGCUGGUGCAAUGGUCGUAAGCGGCCCGUCUUGAAACACGGACCAAGGAGUCUAACAUCUACGCGAGUGUUCGGGUGUCAAACCCGUACGCGCAGUGAAAGCGAACGGAGGUGGGAGCCCCCCGGGGUGCACCAUCGACCGAUCCUGAUGUCUUCGGAUGGAUUUGAGUAGGAGCGUAGCUGUUGGGACCCGAAAGAUGGUGAACUAUGCCUGAAUAGGGCGAAGCCAGAGGAAACUCUGGUGGAGGCUCGCAGCGGUUCUGACGUGCAAAUCGAUCGUCGAAUUUGGGUAUA